GAGUAAACUUUGGUAAAGAAAUAAUUGCUCACCUCAAUCUACUCCUAAUAAAUGAGUCAGCAGCAAUCAACAAGUUCUUUUAGUUUAGUACAUCAACAGUAUCAGCUAACUUUGCAGAAUCGAGAUUAUUACAUAAAGCAUUGAAAAUCGUGUCAAGGCCGAGGUUACCGGUAAUGACUCAAAUGUUCAUAUCAAUUAGAUUUAUGCAACCUACACAGCUAGUACAGUGAAUCAUUCAAGCGGACAAGAUGAACUCAGUCAGAUUCGAAGCUAUAUUCAUGCUGAUCCGAUUCAGGCAUUUCGUCAAACAUGGGGUGAUCAAUUCGGACAAGAGAUCCAACUGCAACAUUGAAGCAUCUAUUCCAAUCCAAGCUACCACAACAGCAUCAAUAUGAGUUCAGAUAAUCAGUAAAUCAUUAAUCAGAGACGAUUUCACAUAAGUCUUAAUUAGACUUCUCCGCCUUUUUUUUCCUCCAAGGAUAGCUGAGAGCAGAGCAUAUGAAGGUAAAGUGCGAUCGCCGGUCACAAACUGUG
Molecule: long non-coding RNA, 534 nt
Organism: Rhodamnia argentea
Lineage: Eukaryota; Viridiplantae; Streptophyta; Magnoliopsida; Myrtales; Myrtaceae
Exons: 3
Source: RefSeq, a predicted model, not a curated record